RNAcentral lists this non-coding RNA (30 nucleotides) under Rattus norvegicus (Norway rat). The record is from RNAcentral. Lineage: Eukaryota; Metazoa; Chordata; Mammalia; Rodentia; Muridae.
UGGCCUGGUCAUUUCUGUUAGGUUGUGCCA